RNAcentral lists this ribosomal RNA (351 nucleotides) under uncultured bacterium. Its description in RNAcentral is "partial 16S ribosomal RNA". It matches the Rfam family "Bacterial small subunit ribosomal RNA", at positions 338 to 686 of the family's 1533-position model. The record is from RNAcentral.
CCUACGGGAGGCAGCAGUGAGGAAUAUUGGACAAUGGACGAGAGUCUGAACCAGCCACGUAGCGUGGAGGAUGACUGCUCUCUGGGUUUGAAACUUCUUUUAUAUGGGAAUAAAACAGGGUAUCCAUCCCCUCUUGUAUGUAUCAUAUGAAUACGGAUCGGCUAACUCCGUGCCAGCAGCCGCGGUAAUACGGAGGAGCCGAUUGUUAUCCGGAUUUAUUGGGUGUAAAGGGAGCGUAGGUGGAUUGUUAAGGCAGUUGUGAAAGUUUGCGGCUCAACCGUAAAAUUGCAGUUGAAACUGGCAGUCUUGAGUACAGUAGAGGUGGGCGGAAUUCGUGGUGUAGCGGUGAAA